This 59-nucleotide transfer RNA is filed under the name Sambucus nigra (European elder). Its description in RNAcentral is "tRNA-Met". It matches the Rfam family "tRNA", at positions 7 to 64 of the family's 71-position model. From Rfam's summary of the family: Transfer RNA (tRNA) molecules are approximately 80 nucleotides in length. Their secondary structure includes four short double-helical elements and three loops (D, anti-codon, and T loops). RNAcentral also lists the same sequence under 57 other names. The record is from RNAcentral. Lineage: Eukaryota; Viridiplantae; Streptophyta; Magnoliopsida; Dipsacales; Adoxaceae.
UUAACUCAGCGGUAGAGUAACGCCAUGGUAAGGCGUAAGUCAUCGGUUCAAAUCCGAUA